GAACUCGGAUCUGCCUGCAUCU
Molecule: unclassified non-coding RNA, 22 nt
Filed under: Mus musculus (house mouse)
Lineage: Eukaryota; Metazoa; Chordata; Mammalia; Rodentia; Muridae
Description: oocyte_clustered_small_RNA13836
Source: RNAcentral